GGUCUUGUAACUUAGUUGGUUAGAGUGUGGUUCUUAUGAGCUAAAAGUUGUGGGUUCAAGUCCCAUUAAGACCA
This is a transfer RNA of Ipomoea nil (Japanese morning glory), 74 nucleotides long. It matches the Rfam family "tRNA". Rfam says of the family: Transfer RNA (tRNA) molecules are approximately 80 nucleotides in length. Their secondary structure includes four short double-helical elements and three loops (D, anti-codon, and T loops). The record is from Rfam. Lineage: Eukaryota; Viridiplantae; Streptophyta; Magnoliopsida; Solanales; Convolvulaceae.